RNAcentral lists this long non-coding RNA (17517 nucleotides) under Homo sapiens (human). RNAcentral's name for it is "HSALNT0335253". Lineage: Eukaryota; Metazoa; Chordata; Mammalia; Primates; Hominidae. The record is from RNAcentral.
GGUUUCUCCAUGCUGGUGGCUGGUCUCAAACUCCCGACCUCAGGUGAUCUGCCCGCCUUGGCCUCCCAAAAUGCUGGGAUUACAGGCAUGAGCCACUGCACCCAGCCCUGAUUUUUUUCAUAAUCAAAAGUUGAGUGGAAAUUUGUGUAUGAAUUACUAACCACUCCAUGCACUUUCUUUUUCUUCCCUGAACCCCUGAGCAGAGCUUCCCAAAACAACAAGGGCAGCAUGUGACAGGUUGAGGGACCAUGGAGGUCAUCUUGUCCUACCCCUGAAUGGAACUGUAAAGAACAAGAGGUAUGGUCCUAACACAGUGAGUGCAGACUCUGGACCAGCCUCCUUGAGGCAUUGUUGUUCUUUCUAGUAAGAGAAUGAGCUCUGAAGUCAGAAAAAUCUGGAUGCGGAGCCUGUCUGUGUUACCUCAGGCAAGUCACUUAACAUCUCUGAGACGUAUCUUCCUAAUCAGUGAACAAGGAUCAUAAGCCACCUCUCACAUAGCCAUUAUUAGGAUGAAGUGAGAAAAAUGUGUACAAAGGGCCAGGAACAGAACUGCCAAUAACCAAGAAUCUCAAUUAAUAUUGAUUCUUAUUACUCCUGCCUCCAGAUCCUCACCUCCCUUUAUUUUUCUGCCUUUCCUACAGUCACCCCUUUCAACAUCCACCUCAUAUGGGCACGUAUUAAAAAUGCCACAUGCAGGAUUAUAAUGCAAAUGGGUUCCUGUUUCUUCUUGUGGGUGUUCUUGCCCUGCCAUUUGGUGUGAGCAUGCUGUGCCACUCUGCUGAGGAAGUGUCAUUAAUAGCUGUUCAAGGCCUCACUGCCUCCCAAACACAACAGAAGAAGGUGACUUCAGCCCACAUUAUUACAAAAUAAGAUUCUUAAGAAAGCAGGAGUGGUUUAGGCCGGGUGCGGUGGCUCAUGCCUGCAAUCCCAGCACUUUGGGAGGCCAAGGCGGGUGGAUCACCUGAGGUCGGGAAUUUGAGACCAGCCUGACCAACAUGGAGAAACCCUGUCUCUACAAAAAGUAGAAAAUCAGCUAGGCAUGGUGGCACAUGCCUGUAAUCCCAGCUACUCCGGAGGCUGAGGCAGGAGAAUCUCUUGAACCUGGGAGGCGGAGAUUGCACCAUUGCACUCCAGCCUGGGCAACAAUAGCAAAACUCUUGUCUAAAAAAAAAAAAAAAAAGAAAGAAAAAAAAAAGGCAGGAGUGGUUUAAAAGCAGAUUUUUAAAAAAAGCAAAUACACAAUGUUAGAAAAAAAAUAUAAAACUAGAAAUUAUUUGGCAUUUAGAUGGGUAUAGUUUAUUGUGUGCUACAACUCACAUACAGAAAGAACCAAAGACCCUUAAAGUAAAAACAAUAAUUUGUGGAGUAUUUAAUACCUAUCAAGUAGUACGCUAGGCAUCUUAUAGGUGUGAUGAAAUUAAUCAUUAUAGCAACUCUAUGAGGGAGGUAUUCCCCUUUUAUAGAUGAGAAUGCUGAGGCUUAGAGAGGUUUGUCUGGUAAGUGCUUUAUCUUGUAAAGGUGUAGAACCACAUUUGCUUCUGGGUGCCCCUCCAAAGCUUGCAUGUUUAUUAACCAGUAAGGUGCAUCAGGCUAUGGAGUUACCCUGCGCAGAAGAGGCUUCACAGAAAUCACUGUGGUGACAAUGGUCCAGCUGAACUUUUGUUAUUUUUUUCGAACAAUAUCAGCCUGGAAGUUCAGUCAAGGCUGUAAACUUAUGGUGUAAUCCAGCCCAACUCACUGACUGGCUGAAACAGAAUCUCCUUUUGAGCCCUCCCACUCUCAGAAGUGUGAUCUUUUGUGAGUCUCCCAAACUUAAAAUAACCCAGGGGCCUUAUGGCCUCCCAAGCAGUGGGAUGCUUCCAACCAAUCAAUCCAAGACUGUGUGAGUGCUGGUGUCAAAGGCAUUGUCCACUGCAGGAUGUUGACAGUGAGUCCUCUGGCUUCCUCUGCUUAGUGCCUUAUCAGUCGCUUAUGCAGGCAACCUAUAAGCUGAGCCCUGAGAGGGAACUCAGAAGUGCUUAUCUACAGCAGAACCCCCUCUAAGGGAGUAAACUUCUAGGUCGCCUUGGGCCAAUUCCACAGCUCUUUCUGUUUCUACUCCCAGAGUCUCACCAAAUCAGAAAGUGGCUUUUGGCCCUCCUCUUCUCUGUGUACCUGGCUGCUGUCUGUCCUGGGUUUCAGUCUCAGUCCUUUCUGAAACUACCCCUUUCCUCUCCUGUGGCCACUGGCCUCCGUGACCCACAAAACAUAUACCUUUUCCCACCAACAAGCCUGACUCAGGGUUUGUCUCAGCUUGAAUCAGAGGCUUUUCUACGCCAAUACUAGCAAUUAGGGGUGAGGGCUUCAACAUAGGAAUUUGGGAGGACACACUUAGUCUAUAAUACUGUGGCAGCACCACAUCGGGGCAGUCUAAUGAUUCUACAUCUGUCAUGUCUGCCUCCCAAGCUGUGUACUCAAGGCCCAAGGGUGUCCUCCUUAGGAGCACCCUGCAGCUAAAGUCUGAAGUCUAGACCCUCCUCAGAGCAGGGCCCAGUUCUGUACAGAUCCCAGCAGGGUCCGCAGUGUACUCUCUCCUCCUGGACAGUGCCCUGGGGAAAUCCCUUUUGUAAUCCAGAGGGAGGCUUGCUCUCCUUCUCGUGUCCCCCAGGCCUCUGCCUCUUCCUCAAACUGUGUCCACUUCCAUGGGUUUGGUUCUUGGACAACCAAACCCAGGAGAAUCUAAAAACUCUUCUGCUACCCAUCAUGCCCUGGGUCUCUCCUGAGGCAGUGAAACGAGAAUGAGAAGUGGGCAGUGGUAGAGAACAGAAAACGUUUUGGAAAAAAACAUAAGCUAAUGGUUCAGACUAUCACUCAGCCACAAUACUAUGCAAAGAAUAUCUGCUCAAUACACAGUACAGCGGGGGCGCUCCUCCUCUCUCACUACAGGGACUGUAGGGGCUCUGGGACUCUCUCACUACAGGGACUGGCAGGUGCUCUGGGACUGGGGCCAGAAACUCAGGUCAAAGCCGCCCCUGCUGCACACCACUUAAUGCCCCAAACUCACCUUCCUUCAGGGAAAAUACGGAAUGUCUUUAAAAGAAUCAGGUCAAAAAAUGUUGCUUUUCAGGCCGGGCAUGGUGGCUCACACCUGUAAUCCUGGCACUUUGGGAGGCCUGGGCAGGCGGAUCACCUGAGUUCAAGAGUUCAAGACCAGCCUGGCCAACAUGGUGAAACCCCAUCUCUGCUAAAAAAUACAAAAAUUAGCCAGGCAUGGUGGCGGGCACCUGUAAUCCCAGCUACUCAGGAGGCUGAGGCAGGGAGAAUUGCUUUGACACAGGAGAUGGAGGUUGCAGUGAGCCGAAUGCACUGCACUCCAGCCUUGGCAACAAAGUGAAACUCUGUCUCAAAAAAAAGAAAAAAAAAGAGUUCCUUUUCAGGAGUAACUGAAGUCGAAUUAUCUGACAGGUAGGGUUUCCAAAGUUCACACAAACAUUGUUUCUAAAGUUUAUACAAAAGCCUUAUCUCUAGAGUAUGAAUACUAUCAGGUAUUGAGAAAGGGUAUAACUCUACUCAUUUCCCUAAAAUGUACCCAGAAACUAUGGACUAAUAUAGUGCAUACUAUAACCUAUAAUAUUCAGAAGUGAAUCUGUUUCACUCAAAUAAAUGUAGCUCUUUCUUCACUUGGUCAUGACUUUCCUAUUUCAGACAUUUUAGGCACAAAGGCCUGCUUCAGGCACUUGAACAGUUGGAUUUUGAUGCAGGUUUUGAUGCUUGAAUAAGAAUGAAGAGAUGCCCUUCAAAACUUCUCUCCUUUUGAGCUGCAGAUUCUUUUCAUUUCUGAUUCUCAAAAGCACAGCCUGGUCAAAUCGUUUAUCAGCUGUGAUCUAAACAGAAUGUUGCUUGUCUUUGGGUCUAACCAGCCUGUAGAGAUGUCCCACACCUAUCCUCAGGGAAUGAAGGUCCCAGGAAGACUGGCAUUCCACAGUGGACAACCCAAGGGCCCCUGGGGAAAGCCUCCUUCCACAAGCUGGUGAUGGCAGGGUCAGCAGUCGAGUGUCUCUGAGAGCUGCUCCCUGACCUUUAUGUGGCCAGGAAGGAUACAGAUGCAUGUGAAUGAGAUUGGGCAGUGCCUGCUGAAUUCAUUAAAUCAAUAUUCUGUGCACAUCCCACUUAAUCAGUAGACAUAGUCUGGUUCUGUGCAUUUUGUGGAUAGCUGAAGGAUUUUUGUGGCAAAUACUAAACACUGAGCAAAGUGGGCUUCUCUGAAACCAAGUAGGUUUUUGAGCAGCCUCUUUCUGCUUUCAGUUGAUGUGAGCUCAGGAAAUGGGAAUUGAUUUUAUCCUAGGCAGAACUUAAUUAGAGAGGAAGAUUGUUGCCAAAACACCCCAAGCUUCAUUUCAAAGUCAAAUCAAAAUGAUUUUUGUAUUAUUCACUGGUUCGGAUUGCACAGAUGCUCCAGGUUUGUAUUUUAGCAGCACUGUAUCAGAAAGUAGGUAGCCUUAACUAUUCUUACCUUUGGAAUCCGCUAAAAUUUUCUUACCCACUUAUUGUUAGAUCCAUGAUAAUAAUCUGGAAGUUCCCAGAUAAAGGUGAGGUAGGGAAAAUAAAACCAUCAUGGGGAAUGCUGGCAGAAAUCACUGUAGGGUAUAAUUGGGAGAAUAGAAUUUAAUACAUUGCACAUGUUUGUUCUCUCCCAUGGAUGGUGAGGUUUUUUGAUUUUUGUUUUUUGUUUUGAGACAGAGUCUCACGCUGUUGCCUGGCCUGGAGUGCAGUGGUGAUAUGUGGGCUCACUGCAACCUCCACCUCCUGAGUUCAAGCGAUUCUCCUGCCUCAGCCUCCCUAGUAGCUGCAAUUACAGGCAUGUGCCACCACACCCGGCUAAUUUUGUAUUUUAGUAGAGACAGGGUUUCUCCAUGUUGGUCAGGCUGGUCUUGAACUCCCGACCUCAGGUGAUCCGCCCACCUCGGCCUCCCAAAGUGCUGGGAUUACACGCAUGAGCCACCGCGCCCAGCCGAGGUUGAGCACUUUUUAUUUUUUAUUUUUUAUAACUUCAUUAAGAUAUAAUUCGUCUACCUUACAAUUCACUCAUUUAAAGUAUACAGUUCAAUGGCUUUUAGUUUAUGCAGGCUGUGCAACCAUCACAAACAAUUUUAGAAUAUUUUCAUCACCCCCAAGAGCAACCCUGUACCCAUUAGCAGUUAUUUCUCAGUCCCCCUCAAGUUCCUCUGCCCUGAUGACUUUAUGUCUCUAUAGAUUACUUACUGUGGACAUUUCCUAUAGCUGGAAUCAUACAAUAUGUGGUUGUUUGUGACUGGCUCCUUCAACUUACCAUAAAGUUUUUAAGGUUUAUUCAUGUUUUAGUGCAUACCAGUACUUCCUUCUUCUUUACUGCUGAAUAAUCUUCCAUUGUACGGAUAUGCCUCAUUUUAUUUAUCCAUUCAUCAUUUGAAUGUUAUAAAGAAAUACAACACAUAGAUUGUUUCUACUUUUAGCUAUAAUGAAUAAUGUUGCCAUGAACGUUCAUGUACAUAUUUUUGUGUGGAUAUAUAUUUUUAUUCCUUCUGGCUAUACACUUAGGAGUGGAAUUGCUGAGUCAUGUCGUGACUCUAUGUUUAACCUCUUGAGGAACUGCUAGACUAUUUUCCAAAGUCGCUGCACCAUUUCAUAUACCCACCAGUGUUGUAUGAGGGCUUCACUUUCUCCAUAUCUUCACCAAUUUAUCUGUCUUUUGAUUAUAGUAAUUCCAUGUGAAGUGAUGGCUCAAUUUGGUUUUGAUUUACAUUUCCAUUGUGGCUAGUGAUGUUGAGUAUCCUUUCAUGUGAUUAUGGGCCAUUUGUACUUCUUCUUUGGAAAUAUGCCCAUUCAGAUCCUUUGCCCACUUUUAAAUUGGGUUGUCUCUUUAUUGUCAAAUAGUAAGAGUUUGUAAUAUGUCUUACAUACACGUCUCAUCAGAUAUAGAAUUCACAAACAUUUUCUGCCAUUUGGUGGGUUGUCUUUUCACUUUCUUGAUGGUAUUCUUUGAAAGACAAAAGUUUUAAAUUUCGAGGAUGUCCAAUUUAUCUCUUCUCUUCUGGUGCUUGUCUUUUUGGUGUCAUAUCUAAGAAAUCAUUGCCAUGUUCAAAGUCAUGAAGAUUUUUGCUUAUGUUUUCUUUCUAGAAUUUUAUAAUUUCAGCUCUCAGGUUAGAUUUAUUUUGACUUAAAUUUUGUAUAUAGUGUUAGGUAUGAGUCCAACUUCAUUCUUCUGCAUGUGGAUCUCCAGUUGUCUCAGCACCAUUUCUUGAAAAGACUAUUUUUUUCUCGUUGAAUUAUCUUAGCACACUUGUUGAAAAUCAAUUGACCCUAAAUGUGAGGACUUAUUUCUGGACUCUCAAUUCUAUCCCACUGAUCUAUAUGUCUUUCUUUUCCUUCCUUCCUUCCUUCCUCCUUCCUUCCCUUCCCUUCCUCCCUUCCUUCCAUCCUUCCUCUUUCUUUUCUUUUUUCUUUUCUUUUCUUUUCUCUUUCUUUCUUUUCUCUCUCUUUCUCUCUUUCUUUCUCUCUCUCUCUUUCUUUCCUCUUCCUCUUCUUCUUCUUUCUUCUUUUUUUUUGUUGACAGAGUCUUGCUCUGUGCCCAGGCUGGAUUGCAGUGGUGCGAUCUUGGCUCAUUGCAACCUCCACCUACCUGGUUCAAGCGAUUCUUGUGCCUCAGCUUUUUGAGAGGCUGGGAUUACAGGUGCCUGCCACCACACUUGGCUAAUUUUUGUAUUUUUGGUAAAGAUGGGGUUUUGCCAUGUUGGCCAGGCUGAUCUCGAAUUCCUGACCUCACUGGAUCCACCCGCCUCGGCCUCCCAAAGUCCUGGGAUUACAGACAGGAGGCACUGCGCCUGGCCUAUAUGUUUUUCUUUAUGCCAGUACAAAACUGUUUUGACUACUGCAGCAUUGUAGUAAGUUUUGUAAUUGGGAGGUAUGAAUUUUCCAGAUUUCCAUUUUCAUCUGGAAUCUUCUUUUACAAGAUUGUUCUGACUAUCCAAGGUCCUUUGAAUUUCCAUAUGAAUUUUAGGUUCAGCUUGUCAAUUUCUGUAAAGAAACCAGCUGGAAUUUUGAUAAGGAUUGCAUUGAAUCUGUAAAUCAAUUUGGGGAAUACAGUCUGCCACCUUUACAAUAUUAAGUCUUCCAUUCUGUGAACACAGAAUGUCUUUUCAUUUAUUUAGGUAUUCUGUAAUGUUUUUCAAUAAGGUUUUGUGGCACAUUGCAAUGGUCCAUGCCUGUAAUCCCAGCUCUUUGGGAGGCCAAGGUGGGAGGAUUGCUUGAGCCCAGGAGUUCAAGACCAGCCUGGGCAAUAUAGUGAGAACCUAUCUCUACAAAAAAAUUUUUAACAAAUCAGCAUAGUGGCACAUGCCUGUAGUCCCAGCUACUUGGAGGUGCUGAGGUGGGAUGAUCGUUUGAGCCCAGGAGUUCAAGACCAGUCUGGGCAAUAUAGUGAGAACCCAUCUCUACAAAAAAAUUUUUUAACAAAUCAGCACAGUGGCACGUGCCUGUAGUCCCAGCUACUUGGAGGUGCUGAGGUGGGAGGAUCGUUUGAGCCCAGCAAGUCGAGGCUGCAGUAAUCCGUGAUCACACCACUGCACUCUAGCCUGGGUGACAGAGCAAGAUCUUGGCCACCUUUCCACCAAAAAACCCAGAAGGUUUUGUAAUAUCAGAGUAUAAAUUUUAUACUUCUAUUAAUGUACAAGUAUUUUAAUCUUAAAUAUUUUGUUCUUCUGAUGCUAUUUUAAAUGGAAUUGUUUAAUUUUAUUUUGUUUGUUUAUUGUUACUAUCUAUAAAUCCAAUUGAUUUUUGUAUGUUGAUCUGUGUCCUACAACCUAGCUGAACUCACUUAUUAUUAGUUCUAAUAAUUUUUUAGUGGAAUCCGUAGGAUUUUCUAAAUACAAGAUUAUGUCAUCUUCAAAUAGAGGUAGUUUUACUUCUUCAUUUUCCAACUGGAUGCCUUUUAUUUUAUUUUCUUGCCUAAUUGACCUAGCUAGAACAUGCAGUACAAAGUUAAAUAGAAGUAGCAAAAACCAACAUUCUUUUCUUGUUCCUGAUGUUAAGGGGAAUGCAACCAAUCUUUUACCAUUAAGUAUGACAAAAGCUGUUCUUCAUAGAUGCCCUUAAUCAGAUUGAGGAAUUUCCCUUCUACUUCUAGUUGAUUGAGAGUUUUUAUCAUAAAGGGUGUUGAAUUUUGUCAAAUGCAUUUUCUGUGUCUACUGAAAUGAUCAUAUGGUUUUUAUUUUUUGGUGUAUUAUAUUAAUUGAUUUCAGAUAUUGUUUGGUCAUUUUAAAAUACAUUCACAGGCCAUUUGUUUUCUUCUCUGAAAUACUAUUAAUAUCAUUUGCCCAUUUUCUACUGGAUUAUUUGUCUUUUCCUAACUGACUUGUAAAAACUUUUAAUAUAGCCGAAUAUCUUUAUCAGUUACAUGUGUAGCCAAUAUUUCCCCCAAAUUUGUAGUUUGUUCUUUCCCUCUUUUAAUGACAUCUCCCGAUGAACAGCAGAUUCCUUUUUUUUUUUAAGACGAUGUUUCUCUCUUGUUGCCCACACUGGAGUGCAAUGGCGCAAUCUUGGCUCACUGCAACAUCCACCUCCCGGGUUCAAGCCAUUCUCCUGCCUCACUCAGCCUCCCGAGUAGCUGGAAUUACAGGCAUGGGCCGCUAUGCCCAGCUAAUUUUUGUACUUUUAGUAGAGACGGGGUUUCUCCCUGUUCAUCAGGCUGGUCUCAAACUCCUGAUCUCAGGUGAUCUACCCGCUUCAGCCUCCCAAAGUGCUGGAAUUACAGGCGUGAGCCACCAUGCCUGGCCUGAACAGCAGAUUCUUAACCUCAGUGUUAUAAAAUUUUGAAAUCUUUGCUCUGUGGUUUGUAUCUUGGAGAUCUGUUUAUGAAAUCCUUCACUUCUUCCCAAGAUAAGCACAUAAUCCUAAAUUGUCUUGUAAAGUUUUGCCAUUCAUGGUUAGACCUCUACUUAAUCUGAACUUAAUUUUUUUAUUUUAAGAUGUGAGGUAGGAUCAGAUGUCCUGUUUCCCAUGUGAAUAUCCAGUUGUUUUGGACACGAUUAAUGUAGUUUCUCAGAUUUGCUAAGACUCCUCCAGGGUCCUCAGCUGAUGGCUCUUGAGGAGCUCCUGAUAACUCCAUGGCUACCGAAGCUGCUGCCUCAUCUACCAGCACUGCCAGCUGUCUUGACCUUUCCCAUAGAGAGUACCAGCUCCUGCAUAGCCUCCAUCUACCCAUUGCUGUGGGAGCACCAGUUGAUCUGACACCCACGCCCAAGCAGAAGGAACACAUAGUGUCUCUGGCUCCCCAUGCCACUGCCCACUGUAGGGGAGGCAGAAAUUUACUUGUACCUAUCCUUAGUGCUUAGUUGGGACAGAUCCUCAUGGUAAAAGACAGAUUCACAAGAGAAUUAAUUAUUAUUAUUAUUAAUACGUGCAGUGCAUAUCAUGCAGGAGAAGCCUCAACAAAGAAUAGCUCAAAGCAGUAGCUUAAAACUCCUGCUCAUAUAGCAUCUUCAACCAAGAACAAUAACUUUGUAGAGAAAUGACAGGACAAAGGAAAGCAGUUCUAAAUAAUAUCUUCAAAUUUGUCUUCUAAUUCAACAAUGUAGUUUUCAGCUUUACUAAAUUCUGUAUUUUAUUCCAAAAUGAAAACAUUUUAAAUUAUAAUAUUUAUUAUUUCUGUUAAUAUAGUCAAGCUUCUCUAUUCUUCAAAUACAUUAAACAUUAUUUUAUCAUCUGCAUUUGAUAAUUCCAGUGUCUGAAGUUUUUGGGUUUUUUUUUUUUUUGAGACAGAGUCUGGCUCUUGUCAUCCAGGCUGGAGUGCAGUGGCACUAUCUCAGCUCACUGCAACCUCUGCCUCCUGGGUUAAGGCUAUUCUCCUGCCUCAGCCUCCUGAUGAAGUUUUAAGGCCUAAUUCUGCCAUCUCUUGUCACUGUUUGCUGUCAUGUCUUAAUUUCAUUUGCAUUUGAGAUGGCUGAUUGUAAAUGGCUUUGUCUAUAUUGAUUAUUUUGAGAUUUUUGUUGAAGGAUUUGUGUUUAUAUCUGCCAGUUACCUUGGGCAAUAUACAUUGGCACUACUUUAAAUCUUCCUCUUGAGGUUUUUCAGAACACACAGCUUCCAUGAAAAAUGACUACAAACCUCCAUGAAGACUGAAUUGUAUUUUCUAAUAUGCAAUGUAUUUUUUUCCUCCCCACACCAGGAUGGAAAUUGACUGGCUUCCUCAUGGUCUGCUGAUCUUACUGCUUACUCAUCCAUUCACUGAAGGGUCCUUAGAGGUCCCAUGUCUAUGCAGGUGUCUCUUUUCAGACUCUUCACCCAAAUAGACUAGGCUUUACCUUCUGUUUCCUCAACGCUGCCUCUGUAGCUGUCAAGGUAGAAUUUCAAAAUAUCUAGGACUGGGCAGAAUCCUAUAGAGAAAAGCUGGCCCAUGUUACCUUGUCCCUCACCCCUGACACCACUAGGUAGGGUUCUGCUUUAAUUUCAUUUUUGGCCUCUAUGAGUUUCUGCUUCUUGUAUAAACACACAGUGUACCAUAAAAGAUAGUUCUUAUAUAUCUCUAGCAUUUUCACUAUUUUAAUUGGAAAAGUCAUGUAUUGUCUGUAGUCCACCCCACUGCCUUCAAUGAAGGUAUACAGUUGUUUAAAAAUUGUCAUUAGUUAACAACAUUUUAAACUAAGAUUUCCAUGAUAAUACAGAUUUACCAGCCUCUCUUGAAAAAUUAUAAUGUCUUGGCAACACUGGGCUCUCAUUUGCCCAAAGAGCUGGAAUAAGGUAGUAUACCAUCAAGAGGGUUUAAAUUCACCUAUUUGUAAAUAUCUCAAUCACUGUUAAUUGUUCUACGCCCAGCAGAAGGCAUUUGAGUUUGUGAUCCAUGCAAUUGAGAGAGUGGUCUAGACCUAGACAGCCUGAAUUUUAUUCUGAGCUCUGCUACUUACUGGCUACAGAAGCUCAGAAAAUUCACGUAACUCUUGGAAUCUCAGGGUCCUCAUAUCUAAAAUGGAAAUAAUAAUAGGACCUACCUCAUACACGUGUGGUAAGUAUUAAAGGACGUUAUGCAUGUCUUUCAAGUCUAAGUUUGAAAUUUUUAAGGUGGCUUAUAUGGUGUCCCCACAAUCUGGUCCUGCCGACUUCUCCAGCCUCAUUUCUACCCUCUCCCUUUUAUUCUAUGCUCAAGCAAAUGAGAAAUCUUUCCAUUUUUAUCUUGACUUUUUGUAUUUAUAUCUGCUGUCAUCUCUGCCUAGAAUACUGCCUCCUCCCACACCCCAGGCUAAUAUCCAUUCAUACUUCAAGAUUCCAUUUAACUUUAAUUCCUUAUGGGUACCUCCUCAUAGUCUUAAGACUAGGCUAAAUCCCCUAUAUAUAAGCUCCUACUUUCACUUUGUAAUACAUAUCACACUCACAGUUUCUUGUUGUAUAUCUAUUUCUCCUGUUGAAAUGUGAGCUUUUUGAAUACAGGAUCCCUAUUUGUCUUGUUCAUCCUUAUAUUAGUGAGGCCUAGUCAAGGACUGGCACAAGGAAGGUCCUCAAUAAAGGUUUAUGGGAUUGAAUCAGAUAAAUGGAGCUGGUAUUAUCACACUGCCUUGUCAACACUCCUCUUCAAGUGCAACAUCAAAAUAAAAUACAAUAAUCCAGAUAUGCCUUCAUAUAAUAUGGCCCCUUAAUGUGUUCAUAUUAAUGGAUAUAUGUACACCAGGAUUGUGCUAACAUUUUUGUUUUCAUAUCUUUUAUCAUCUCUAUUAGAGAAGUAACUGAAGGAAUAAAGUAGAAUCAGUGUUGUUAUCUUUAUCUCUGAAAGGCAGCACUUUCUCGGGCUGUGCAUAAAAAAAUACUUAGAGACAUGAAAGACCUAUGAGGUCAUGAGUUUCUCUUCUUAAAUAUAUAUUUUUAAAUCUUUCAACGUCAUCAUUAUAUAAUAAUACCAGUGUGAGGAUUAGACAGGUAUCAGCAGGGCAUUUAGUUGUGUUGUUAUUUUGGUUGUUCAUGAAUCUGAGCUAGAAUUCUGAGCAGUAGCUCUUGGAUAAAGUGGAGUAUACAUACAUCUGCUCAAAUAGAUUAAAUCUCCAAUUUCAACCAACUCCUUUGGUAUGAAAAAAUUCAGAUGAUAGGGCCGGGUGCAGUGGCUCACGCCUGUUAAUCCCAGCACUUUGGGAAGUCGAGGCGGGCAGAUCACGAAGUCAGGAGAUCGAGACCAUCCUGACCAACAUAGUGAAACCCCGUCUCUACGAAAAUACAAAAAAAUUAGCCGGUGUAGUGGCGCACACCUGCAGUCCCAGCUACUAGGAUGGCUGAGGUAGGGGAAUCGCUUGCACCCAGGAGGCGGAGGUUGCAGUGAGCUGGAUUGCACCACUGCACUCCAGCCUGGCGCAGAGCAAGACUCCGUCUAAAACAAAACAAAACAAAACAAAAUUCAGAAGAUAAUUUGAAUAAAAAGAAGAGAAGGUAGAAGAAUAGGAAAGUAUAGAAAGUGUGUUUUUCCAUAUAAAAAGAUUAGAUCAAUAGCCCCACGUUUUUAAAAAAACAAAAAGAUUGUUGAUAAUUACUGAUACACUGACUGAUAAAAGAUAUUUGACUAUUAUAAAAUACUCCUCUAUAUGCUUGUCUUCUUACAAGGUAGUUUAGUUGUUCAGAAUACAGAUGAGAAAUUGAAGCUGUCGUGGGAAUCAUCCUCACAUCUGAGACUAAAAAUAUAGAACUAUCUUUGUAAUUUGAUAUACACAACACCAGGGCCUAAUUCUGGUUUUAAUAUUGGCUCACUUAAUAUUCGUAUAAAUUAAUCUGUAAGUAGAGUAUAAAGCAAAACUGGUAUUCAGAUGUUAUUAUUAGGAAAUAGUUAAUACUUUGAAAUGUUUUAGGGAUGUAGAUACAAAAAUUUUAAAAAAUAUACUUAACACUAUUUGCAGUAGAUAUCUCUGCAUUGGAUUAAAAAUGUUUGUGUCAAAAUAUUCCACAGUGAACAAAUACUACUUUAAUUAAUUAAUUUAUUUAUUUUGGAUUCAGGAGGUACAUGUGCAGGUUUGUUACAUGGGUAUACUGCAUGAUGCUCAGGUUUGGGCUAUGGAUGAUCCCAUUACCCAGGUAUUGAGCAUAGUACCCAAUAGGUAGUUUUUCCCCCACAUUCCACAUCCCUCUCCCUCCCUUCUGCCUCUAGUAGUCCCCAGUGUCUAUUGUUCCCUUCUUUAUAUCCGUAUAUACUCAGUGUUUAGCUCCCACUUGUAAAUGAGAACAUGCAGUAUUUGGUUUUCUGUUCCUGCAUUGUUUACUUAGGAUAAUGGCCUCCAACAGCAUCCACAUUGCUGCAAAGGACAUGAUUCUGUUCUUUUUUAUGGCUGCGCUGUAUUCCAUGGCGCAUAUAUAUAUAUAUAUAUAUAUAUAUAUAUAUAUAUAUAUCACAUUUUCUUUAUCCAGUCCACCAUUGAUGGGCACCUAGGUUGAUUCCACGGCUUUGCUAUUGUGAAUAGUGCUGCAAUGAACAUAUAAGUGCAUAUGUCUUUUUGGUAGAACAAUUUAUUUUCUUUUGGGCAUAUACCCAGUAAUGGGAUUGCUGAGUUGAAUGGUAGUUCUGUUUUAAGUUCUUUGAAAAAUCUCCAAACUACUUUCCACAGUGCAUUCCCACCAUUGGUGUAUAAACAUCCCUUUUCUCCACAGCCUCGCCAGCAUUUGUUAUUUUUUUGACUUUUUAAUAAUCGCCAUUCUGACUGGUUUUGCAGAUGCUACUUUCAUACUAUAAAAAAUACUAUUCAGCCUGACAAGGUGGCUCACGCCUAUAAUCCCAGAACUUUGGGAAGCUGGGGCAGGCAGAUCCCUUCAGCCCAGAAGCUCGAGAUCAGCCUGGGCAACAUGGCCAAACCACGUCUCUACAAAAAAAAACAAAAAUUAGUGGGGCGUAGUGGUACACGCCUGUAGUCACGGCCACUUGGAAGGUUGAGGUGGAAAGAUCACUUGAGCCCAGGAGGUUGAGGCUGCAGCGAGCUGAGAUUGCCACUGCACUCCAGCCUGGCAACAGAGCAAGACCCUGUCCCAAAAACAAACAAACAAAAAAUGAAACAAAACAAAUAUAUAUUUUUCCAAUGUUGUAGUUUUUUUUAUUCCACUCUUUUGUACUAUAAUUAUGCUUUCCAUAAUUAUGGAAGCACUAAACAAUAUUGAACCUAGCGUGGCCAUUUUAAGUUCUCUGGGGACCCAGGCUCUCUUUCUCUGAAGACCCAAUCUCUUCAACUUAGCAAAUAUAUUUAAAUGAACCUAUUGCAUCCAUAAACCAUAAUAAACAAGUUUUUCUUUAAAUUUUGGAACAUUAAUAAGUUUUGCUCUUCAAUGAUUUGAUUAUGAUUGGUACUAUAGAAUGAUUGACUGAUUUAUCACACAUCAUCAAACAUACUUGGGAAUUCUUGCCAAGUGAGUAAAUCUAAGUUACAAAUGGAAUGAAAUUUUAUUAAUAGUAAAUUAAUAAAAUCAGUGUAAUUUUAUAUUUUGUAACCAUUAAAUAAUCAUUCAUUAGUUUAUCUUUUAUAGUUUCUCUUUCUGUUUUGGAAUCAAUUAUAGUUGGCCUCUCAUAACCACAGAUUUCACAUCCACAGGUUCAACCAACCAUGAAUCAAAAAAAAAAAAUAUAUAUAUAUAUAUAGGAUAAUUUCACCUGUACUGAACAUGUACAGACCUUUUUUCUUGUCAUUAUUCCCUAAACAAUAGAGUAAAACAACUAUCUGCAUAGCAUUUACACUGUAUUAGAUAUUUUAAGUAAUCUAGAGAUGAUUUAAAGUAUAGGUUAUAUGAAAAUGCUACAUCAUUUUAUAUAAGGAACUUGAAUAUCCUUGGAUUUUGGUAUCUGCAGGGGGUCUUGGAACCAACCCCCUAGAGAUACUGAGAGAUAACUAUAAUUCUUUUUAAAUUCUCAAACAUUUCUGAAUCCUGUGAGCAGCUAAUCAGCCCUGGGCACAAUGGCUAUAUGACUUUGGACAUAAGAAUUAAUACCCAAUUGCUUCAGCUGCCAAAUUCUGAUCCUGGUUCUAUCCCAGAUAUACUCCUGGGAAGUGCUCAGGUUCAAUGUCAUAAUCUUUUCUUUAUUUAUGAUACAGUCACUUUAUUAAUUGUUGUUAAUAAUACCUAUGUGGAAGCAAAGCAUUUGUUCUUUUCUUCAUUAAAUAAUGACAUAUGAUUGAUACUUUUAUACACUUCAAAUAAUUAAUAAAUGGUUAAGGGGAUCAGAACAUGCCACCUCCAAUUAUGCCACUUUGGUAUAUUAGUUAUUUUGAGCUGAAGGCAAUUGAGAAGCAGCAGAUGCAGGAAGGGCUCUCUGACCUUCCCGCUUCUACUUCAAAGCAGGGCAUACAUUUCCCAGAAUAAAAGUGCCUUUCCUGUCCCAGGAAGAGCAGAACAUUUUUAUCACCUGAGAUGGGGAGUUAACAGCAAGAUGAAUCCAUACCAACUUACUAAAAUAACCCUUCUCUUCCAUUAGUUUCCCCCUAUAUUUCCUAGUUGCUUUCCCAUGAUUUACUGCUCUAGCCCAGUUUUUUUUUUUUUUUUUUAGACAGAGUCUUGUUCUGUCACCCAGGCUGGAGUGCAGUGGCACAAUCGGCUCACUGCAACCUCUGCCUCCUGGGUUGAAGUGAUUCUCCUGCCUCAGCCUCCCGAGUAGCUGGGACUACAGACACGUGCCACCAUGCCCAGCUAAUUUUUUGUAUUUUUAGUAGAGAUGGGGUUUCACCAUGUUAGCCAGAAUGGUCUCAAUCUCCUGACCUCGUGAUCCACCUGUCUCAGCCUCCCAAAGUGCUGGGAUUACAGCCAUGAGCCACCGCACCCGGCCAGUAGACGGGGUUUCGCCAUGUUGGCCAGGCUUGUCUCAAACUCCUGACCUCAGGUGAUCCGCCCGCCUCAGCCUCCCAAAGUGCUGGGAUUACAGGCAUGAGCCACCACACUCAACCCAAACUUCUUUUUUCUUUGUCUUAUUGCAACUCAAAAAUUUAUCAUUCUUUGUUAAAAUUGCAUAUAGGCUCUCAGACCUAUCUGCUUCUUUAGGUCUUCAUUUCUGAUAUACAAAGGCCUCUAUAUAUACAUAAAAAUAUUGACAUCAAGUAAAAUGUGUAUGCUUUUCUCUUGUUAAUUUAUCUUUUGUCAGUUUAAUUAUCAGACCAGCCAUAGAACUUAAGAGGGUAGAAGAAAGUCUUUCCUGCCCUACAAUGGUAAUAUAUAAUACAACAAAUACCCUUUUAUUAACACAUAUUUAUCAGCAAAUUCUAGAAUUUCCUUCCUCCAAAAUUUUGGCAGGGUAAAUUGUUCUACUUUGUUGAAAUUAACAUAUGCAUUAAAAACAUAUCAUUUUUCCUUGUCCCAUGCUCAUUUUAUACUUUCUGUCUUCACUGACCCUUGCAGCCUCAUGAUUAGGCUUUUUAGUCUCUGGACGUAGGUUCUUGGGGAUACCAGAACUCAAUGUCCACUGGAGUAACAGCUUCAGGACUGUCAUUCUAAGGUCCACAGUUACUUCACAUCCUUAGGUUCUCUGUGGUGGCUAGACACCCCUACUUCCUAUUUCUGCAUUAUCUUUUUUUCUAAAUAUUCUCAAAUGAAUAACUCCUUUUAUACUAAAAAUUCUCCAAGUUUUGGAAAAAUAUAGAGGAAAAAAGUUCUGAUUUUAUAAUUUUCUGCCAGAUAAACUCAAAGUUGGGAAGAGAUUACUUUAAUCAUAAUACAGUUGAAUAUGUAGGAAAAUGUUAAAGACAGGUAGAAAGUACAAUGACAACACACUGGGGGGAGUUCAUUCAGCCACCUAUGUCAGGACCACCUGGGGGUCUAGAUAAAAACGUGUUUUUUGGAUUACCCCCCAGAACUGAGUCAGAUUAAAGUAACAUUUUUAAUCCGCUCCCUGGCAUUUCUGAAACAUUCUAUAGUUUGAGAACUGGUAGAACUUGCAGUUAUAGACACUAUUGGCCCACACAACACCUUUUUUGUCCUGCACCCAUUCAGAAGCAUAAAACUAUUUUUGCAUGGACUCUAUUCCAAGUCAUAUUUGCAGUGUGAAGAAGGGUGAUGGAAGACAGCAGUUCCUCCCUCUGACCACAAGGGAGAAUUUCCUUUUGAGGCUUCCAGGCCACCCUAUGAUUCCAGAGGAUAGGCCUUAGUACAGAAGGGCAGAGAAUAGCCAGGCUGUUCAUGUGGAAAGAGAAGUGUAAUAAUUCCAUAUGGUUUCCUCUUCUCAUGAUGUUACUUCAUUUUCAGAGUCACUGUAGAUGUAGAAAUCAUUACAAAUUUAUGUUGCCUUAAAUGUUAGUCUGUUUUACAAUCUCAGAAAGCCAUUUUAUUUAUUUUAAUGCAAAAAUAUAUUAAUACAUGCUAGAACUUGUUAAAAGUAUAAAUGAUUUAUGAAUUAUAUGUUUUAUUUAGUAAACAUAUUCAUAUGUAAAAGGUAAAGAUAAUAAUUUUCAAAAUAAAUGGUGAUUCUGAUACUAAUGUCUUUAGAGCAGAGGUGUUUCUGCUUUUGGCUUCCCUGGUCCAUAUUGGAAGAAGAAUUGUCUUGGGCCACAUGUAAAAUACACUAACAUUAAC